CCUACGGGAGGCAGCAGUGGGGAAUAUUGGACAAUGGGCGAAAGCCUGAUCCAGCAAUGCCGCGUGUGUGAAGAAGGCCUGCGGGUUGUAAAGCACUUUUAUCGGGAAAGAAAAUCUCAGGGUUAAUAACCCCUGGGCCUUGACGGUACCCGAAGAUAAGCCCCGCA
This 167-nucleotide ribosomal RNA is filed under the name uncultured bacterium. Its description in RNAcentral is "partial 16S ribosomal RNA". It matches the Rfam family "Bacterial small subunit ribosomal RNA", at positions 338 to 497 of the family's 1533-position model. The record is from RNAcentral.